This 327-nucleotide long non-coding RNA is filed under the name Cricetulus griseus (Chinese hamster). Its description in RNAcentral is "lncRNA (ENSCGRG00015029209.1)". The record is from RNAcentral. Lineage: Eukaryota; Metazoa; Chordata; Mammalia; Rodentia; Cricetidae.
UUUAGAGAAGCUUCCAUGUGGUGCUGAAAAGAAAGUAUAUUCUUUUGUGUUUGGAUGAAAUGUUAUAUAGAUGUCUGUUAAUUGCAAUUGGGUUAUGACUUCUGUUAUUUCCUUUGUCUCUUUGUUAAGUUUCUCUCUGGUGGUCCUGUCCAGUGAUGAGAGUGGUAUGUUGGAAUCUCCCACUGUAGCUGAGUGAGUUCUUACAUGCCAAACUGCUUGAUGAUGACAUGCUAGGACAGCAAUUCUCUUUGGAGAGGAAGGCAGCAACUGGAAAAUUGCCUGAGGAGGGUUUCUAGACUAAGUUGGGAAACUGAACCAGUCUUUACG